UUAAAUGUGUGGUAAUGUUAAAUGACCAUCAUGAAGAGAGAGCGACACUGACAACCUUAAGACAGAGCUGGAGGUGGAGAAGCGCUCAUCUGUAGUUUGUUGGUUUGACCAGCAGGUGGAGCUGCUGUAUAAACAAUAAACUGCGACUCAACCAAACAAGUUCCUGUUUGAGUGAACUUGUUUAAUUUUGACACAGGAGAGGAAGAUGAUUGUCAAGAAUACUGAACUUAAAAGAUGAUCAAAAACUGUCAGUAAAUGUCAUGAGAAGAAGAAUCUGUGAUCUGGUGGUUUAGGUUUCAGUGGAAAGAGUCCCUGUGAAAGUGAAAGUAAACUCAAGAGCAGACUCCAUUUUGAGAAAAGAACAGAGCAGAGAGAGGAGAGGACGAGGAGACAGGGUGAGUGUUUACUCUGGGUUUUCUAAUGUCAAAGUCUUUAUCUGUAUCAUCUGUUAAUGAAAAAUGAUUUACUGACUAAUACACUUAAAAACGGUAAAACAAAGAAACCUGACCAGACAAAGAGCUGGAUCAGUUCUUGAUACAGGAAACUGUGUACGUGCAGUUCUUCCUCCUUCUUGUUUAGACUUGUCUUUUUAGUAAAAACAAAAAUGAGUUUCUUUUCAUUUAGCCUCUCAUUUCAAAUUUAAUCCAGUCCCUUUAAUUUUUUAUGAGACUUCAGGGACCUCACAGCUGUUGUUGUUUUGACCAUGAAUCAGAGAGAGGCCCUGUAGCGUACAGAUUAAACCCUGUAUAACUCUUAAAGAGGGGUAGUAAGCUUAUUUCAGACUGAAUACUUUCUUUUUGAUUCCUCUUUAAUAUCUUUACAUGAUUUUCAGUUUAGUCUCCUGUUUCUCACUCUGGUGUAUUAAAAUAUCUUUAUUUCAGCCUCUUCCUAAAACACUUCAUUUUAGCUGCUGUCUCUUUAAGGCCUCCUGUCCACGAGUCUACUUCUAUUUCUGAACACUGUCCUCCUGUUUGUAUCUCACCUGUUUGUCUACUUUGUCCUCAGGUUGUAUAACUCGGUUUCAUCUUCCAAAAAGUUGCUCAACAUCAGAUGGAGAAGAUGAGUGUUUGUGUCGAGGAAGAGGAGGACAGAGCAGAGUCUGUCAUGUCAGACUGUCUGUCUAUGAAGAGUGACUGUUCUAAAGAUUUUAUCCUGGAGUUCAGGAAAGAACCAGGACCCUCAGAGGAGUGCAGAGCAAAGUCUAUUCCGUCCAGCUGUCUGUCUAUGAAGAGUGACCGGUCUAAAGGUAUUAUCCUGAACUUCAGAAAAGAACCAGAACCCUCAGAUUCACAGUAAGAGAAACACUUUUCAACCACCAAACUCUCAAACAACAACAAUUGAUGUUUCAAAAACAAAACUUUUAAAUUCUGACCCCUCUGUUUUCUACCAUGGUGAGAAAAAUGAUCUCCUCUGCUCUCAAAACGGUGAUUUUCCUCUGUAACCUGCCAACCUGGAUAAAGGGCUGGUGAAGAAAAUUCACUGAGCACAGAUUUACUUAUUAUUCAUCAUGUUGAUAAAAAUUAAGGUCGUAUAAAACAGCAUCUGAAAAGGAUUCUGACCUCUGUAUUUUCUGAUUUGGUUCCUGUGUUUGAGACGUUUUGAGCCUGUAAGUCUUUGGACUGUGGUGUAUAGACCCCAGAAAACAGUCUGUGGGUCACAAAAUACCAGAAGACCGAUGAAGAAAUCAUUCCUGUUUGAUCUUUUGAUCAAAAAACUGUAGAAUUGGUGGAGAAAAUCUCUCCACCCUCAAAAAUCUCAGUUUAGUUUUUCUCCUGUCUCCACACUUUCAGGCAGCAGCAGCUGAAUAUUUUACAGGAGAUUGUUUUAUGUUAGAGAAAAGAGUGAGGUCAGAAACUCUGGUUUAAUAAAUGCUUCUUAUUCUGUAUCUUUCAAACAUGAAAUGAUAAAGAAAAUAAAUGUUCUUUAUUUCCACAGAGAGACACAGAGAUGUGACUCUGUGGAGGAGCAGCUGUCCAGAUGUUCAUCAUGUCAGGACGUCCUGAAGGAUCCAGUCUCUUACCGCUGUGGACACCUGUCCUGCAGACAGUGCCUGGCCUCAUGCAGGGACCAGUCUACUUCUUUAGGACACACCUCCUGUCCCCAGUGUGGAAAAAGAACCAGAACAGCUCUUGUCUCUCAGACAGACAGUCAGUCCAGCUCUGAUGGAAGUAAGUCUGAACAUCUGUCCUCUAAAGUCUCUGUGGAUGAAAACUCAGCUGACUGAUUUUCACAAAGACGUUUUCGUGUUGAGAAGUUUGGUUCAUUUGAUUUUUCUUCUCUUUCAGAAGAUGGCGGUCUGCAGGAGGUUUUAGAUGAACAUAAGAUCAGUCUGAAGAGGAGAUGUGAACGUGUGAAUGAAGGAAGUGAUGGAACAGGAAGUAGUCAAACCCUCCUCAACAGGAUCUUCACUGAGCUCUACAUCACACAGGGACUGAGUGAAGAGGUGAACACCCAACAUGAGGUGAGACAGCUGGAGACAGCUUCAAAGAUGGAGACCCUCCAUGACACGCCCAUCAAGUGUCAUGAGAUCUUUCAAACCUUACCUGACCAACAGAAGAAGGUCAUCAGAGUGGUUCUGACCAACGGCGUGGCUGGUGUUGGAAAAACCUUCUCAGUGCAGAAGUUCACUCUGGACUGGGCAGAGGGUUUGGAGAACCAAGACCUCAAUCUGGUGAUCCUGCUUUCAUUCAGGGAGCUGAACCUGAUCAGAGAUGAGCGCUUCAGUCUUCUGAGUCUGCUCCAUGUUUUCCAUCCAACACUAGAGAAGGUCACAGCAGAGACGCUGGCUGUCUGUAAACUUCUGUUCAUCUUUGACGGUCUGGAUGAAAGCAGACUGUCUCUGGAUUUCACAGACUCUGAGGUGGUGUCUGACGUCACACAGAAGUCUUCACUGAACGUUCUGAUAACAAACCUCAUCAAGGGGAACCUGCUCCCCUCAGCUCUCAUCUGGAUAACUUCUCGACCUGCAGCAGCCAAUCAGAUCCCUCCUUCAUGUGUGGACAGGGUAACAGAAGUACGAGGCUUCACUGACGACCAGAAGGAGGUGUACUUCAGGAAGAGGUUCAGAGAUGAGGAACUGUCCAGAAGAAUCAUCUCACACAUCAAGUCCUCCAGGAGCCUCCACAUCAUGUGUCAGAUCCCGGUCUUCUGCUGGAUCACUGCUACAGUUCUGGAGGACAUGAUGAGCAGAGAGCAGAGAGGAGAGCUGCCCAAGACCCUGACGGACAUGUACUCACACUUCCUGCUGGUCCAGACUAAGAGGAAGAAGCAGAAGUAUGAAGGAGGACAUGAGACAAGUCCUCAGGAGCUGACGGAGGCUGACAGUGAAGUCCUCCUGAAGCUGGGGAGGCUGGCCUUUGAACAUCUGGAGAAAGGAGACAUCAUGUUCUACCAAGAAGACCUGGAGCGGUGUGGUCUGGAUGUCUCAGAGGCCUCGGUGUACUCAGGAGUUUGUACAGAGAUCUUCAGAAGAGAGAGUGUGAUCUUCCAGAAAACUGUUUACUGUUUCGUUCAUCUGAGCGUUCAGGAGUUUCUGGCUGCAGUCUACGUGAUCCACAGUUUCACAAACAGGAACACAAAAGUUCUGAAGACUUUCCUAAGAGGCAACAAUGACGAAGACAAAAUGUCUCACUUAAAGACGGUUUCCAGAUCUUUUAAAAACCUAAAUCUCUUCCUGAAGAAUGCCAUGAAGAAAUCUCUUGUCAGUAAAAACGGUCACCUGGACCUGUUUGUUCGCUUCCUUCAUGGACUCUCUCUGGAGUCAAACCAGAGACUCUUAGGAGGUCUGCUGGGUCACACAGGCAACAGUCCAAUAAUGAUCCAAAGAGUCAUCAACAACCUGAAGGAGAUGAACAGUAGAGAUAUCUCUCCUGACAGAAGCAUCAACAUCUUCCACUGUCUGAUGGAGAUGAACGAUCUGUCAGUUCAUCAGGAGAUCCAAGAGUUCCUGAAGUCAGAGAAGAGGUCAAGUAGGAAAUUCUCAAUUAUCCAAUGCUCUGCUCUGGCCUACAUGCUGCAGAUGUCAGAGGAGGUUCUGGAUGAGUUGGACUUUAAGAAGUAUAAAACAUCAAACCAGGGACGACUGAGACUGAUGCCAGCUGUGAGGAACUGCAGAAAAGCUCGGUAAGUCCAGGUUUUAUUCUCAGAAUAGUGUAAAUGAUCCCUGUAGUUCUUCUAAUGUCCACGUUACUGAUGAUGUUCUUCUUCAAAUAGAAAUCAGCUAAAACUAUCAGGGAGGGGGUUUCUUUAGGUUCAGCGAAAACAUGAUCCUGGUUUUUGUCUGUAAUGAAUAAAGUGGAACUUUCAGGACAAAUCAGCGACCAUAUCUGAGGACACACAGAGGUCUUCUGAUGAUGGUAUCAGUCCAGAUCAACAUCUCAGUCAGUUGUGGUGAACUUGAGUUUGAAGAAGGUGUCUGCAGCUUCUUCCUGCUGGAACUGGAUCAUUUUCUACACAGUGGCAGAACUGUCUCUGUACCAUCAUGUUCGUCAUCAUCAAUACAACCAUGAAAACUAACAUCAUUUUCCACCACUCACUGGAUAUUAUCUGGUGAACUAGAACAUAUGCAUGAUGAGAACAUGAGUUAUUUGGACAGCAGCUCCAUGUGUCUGAAAACAAUGGUGGAAAUAGGAUGUUAAUGUCUCUCUCUAUGCUAAUGACGCACUAACACUAGUCUGCCUCAUAACACCUCAUAGUAUGGGGAAACAGCUGUGCUCUUCCACUGUAUAUAUGGACACCAUGUCUCUAAGGAGAAGCAGUGUGACUGCAUCAUCAUCAUCAGUUUUCCAUGGUGUCCCUUUGUUGUCAUAGUGAUGCUGCAGAGUGAAGAUGGUUCCUCUAAUGUUGAGGUGUUGGUGGGCUGUAGCGGUCACAUUUCUCCCACUCGGCUGCGUGCCUCGGUUUAAGGUCUGAACCAGGUCUAAAGGACUAACAAGACAGACUUUUUUAGGAAGCAAAAACUAGCAAAAAAACUAGCAAUCUGUUAUUUUUAUAGGAGUUAUGCGAACUUAUGUCUCAUAGAGUUCAAAUAACCUCAAUCAUGAGAGAGAGAGAGAAACAAACAAAGACAGAGGUUCAGUGGGUCUUUGUAUCUGUCUCUUAAAGGUCUCUCUGGAUUCAUCAGGCUUUAUAAACUUGUUUCUGCUGGUGAAGGGAAUGUUACAUGGAGAAAAAACUUUGACUGUGAAAACAAAGAAAUCUUCAACUCUUCAAAUGUUCAGAGUCAAACCAGCUCUAACCUGCUAAAAAACGAUUUGAUCUGAACCAAUCAUAGAAAAAGGAGCUGCUGCUGUGAUUUAGUGAGUCGUCCUCUGAUUGGUCAACAGGCCGUCUGUCAAACCAAAGAUCAUGUUUAAGUUGUUUUUGGUGAAGAGAAACAUCAAAUUACCCUUCAAUGAAAUAUUGUUUGAUGUUUAUGUUGUUACAGAUUUUCUGACUGUGGACUCUCAAAGACUCACUGUAAAUUUGUGGCCUCAGCCCUGAAGUCCGACCCCUCCUAUCUGAGACAUCUGGACCUGAGUGGAAACAAACUGCAGGAUUCAGGAGUGAAGCUUCUCUCUGCAGGACUGCAGAGUCCAAACUGCAGACUGAAGAUUCUGAGGUCAGACACCAUUUCCUUCUGAUCUAACAAUAAGAUGUGACAGUUGCUGCCUUAGAUUUUUCUCUGUGGUUUUUCCAUCACCUUUAGUCGAGCAGUUUGAAUUGGAGUUGUAAAACUUCUACUCAAAGUCAACUCUGAAAUGUUUGAUUUUUCUUCCUGUGUUGAAUGAUGGAUGUAGAAAGGAAGCAGGAGAAAAUCAGUCCCACAAAUAUUACACAUGCUUGUAGAGGGCAGGAGCAGCACAGACUAAAGGCUGAUAUUGAACUGAUCCACAGUUAAUGUGAUCACUAAUGAAUGAAUGAAGUGUCAGAGAAAUGAUUAGCUGCAGAUUGAAACCUUAAGAACAAAGUUAAUCCAACUCUGGAUAUUUCAUUUGGAAACUCUUGAAAACUUGAAUUUCUUCUUUGCUCAGUCGUGUUCAAAUGUAAAAACCAGAUCCAGAUUUUUCUGCAGUUUUCACUUCAGUUUGUUGAACAUUAACAUCAUCUUGUCCAGUUGGUCCAUAAAAACCUCUCUGAUCAAUGAUCUGUUGGUUUAUUUACGAGUAGUUUGUCAGUUGUUGACGGCAGACGGACAGAGCCCUGAAUAAACUCCUGACUGUUUUCAUCUUCAUGAAGAAUUCAGGACUACAAAAAAACCUUUGAGAUUUCUCACAUUAAUUUCUCAGGAUCUCACUAAAGUUUUCUGUAUUCUAAACAUAUUCUUGACUGAAUUAUUCCUCAGGAUCUUCACAAAGUUUAGAGAGAAUUUCACAAAGUUCCUCAAGAUCAACUCUGAAAAAGUUCUCCUUCCAUGUCCCUCAGGGGCUCAAGAACAUUGAAUCAUUAAAGCAGGAACAGUUUCUUUAGAGGUUCAAUGAUUUUUUUUUUUUUUCAGAUUGAGUGACUGCAGUUUGUUUAGCUGUUCUUCUCUGGCCUCGGCUCUGUAUUUCAAUCCCUUCCAUCUGAGACAGUUGGACCUGAGUGACAACAAAUUGCAGGAUUCAGGAGUGGAGCUGCUGUGUGACUUUCUGCAGGAUCCAAACGGUAAACUGGAGCAUCUGGGGUAAGUUUAGUCUUUGUCUGUUUCUGGUGUAGAUUUUAAUGUUUAAUCAUUUUUUUUAACCCAAUUCAAAUGUUCACAGACUUCUUGAAUAUUUCCAGAACUUUCUUCUCACUCACAUACAUUCAUAGUUUUUAUUGAAUCAGCAGUCAGAUACAGAUAGAGGAAAAUGAGCACUGUGAGUUAUUUUGUUGAUUGAAUGUUGAUGAUUUUUUAUCAAUGGUUCAGAUGAGCACUGCAGUGAUGUUGAGGGGUUUACUUCCUCGGUCUCUAAAACAUUUAAAUGUUCAAGGAUGCAGUGAACUCAGUUUCCAUGCAGCUCAGAAACACAGCUCAUCUUUUUCAAACUUCAAAAUUCUUGAGACUGAAUUUUGUUUGUCAUGAGAUGUGACAGCUGAUUUUAUAAAUUAACUUGAAGAUAACUUCAGAGACAUUUUGAACAUAUUCGUGAGUUAAUAUUCAUUAAUUACAACCAUAUCAUAGUGAUAUCAGACAGGAGUGUGACAGGUGUUUAUUAGUCUUUUUGACACGUUACAAUAAUGAGGAUAAAGUCAUGGACUAAACUUGGGCUCCCAGUUUCCUUGUUGUUGUUGUUGCUUCAGCUAGCAUCAUUGUUUUCAUCACAGUUAUUAAAGUAAUAAUGAUGCUUCAUGAAUUCAGAGUCACAAAAAACACCAAACAAACCAAAUCUGAAAAAAAUCCACUUUUUCAUCAAAUGUGUUUAAUCUGUCAGAACAUGAGGUUUGAGUUUUCAUGAGGAGGAAUAGAGAAAUAUCUGCAAUGAUAGAUAGAAACACAGACACCUGAAUUUACACUGACAGACACACAAACACAGACAGAGAGACACAAACAGGGAUUUCCACUUUGUCACUUUGCUCUGAUGACUGAAGUCACAAAAACAAAGUUUUCUUUGUCACUUUUAUGAUUGAACCAAAUAAGUUCAAGAACCAAACUCUCAGAUUUUGUUCUUCCCAAUAUUAUUUGAACCAUUUUGAUUUUUCUUCUGAUCAAUAUUCAAUGAUCAGAUUGAUUAGGUUCCUGUUUUGGCUCCACUGCCUCUUUUCUGCGAGCUCAAUAACUGCUCAUAUGGUUUGAAAGGUUCCUGCUGCAAAACCCGAUUAGAGAGUGGACUAAAUGAAAUGUGAGUGAACUCAGCCAUCAGUGAAUAAAUGACAAAGUGAGAGGAAGAGUGGAUCUGUCUGCUCUCUGACCUUGUUGAUCCUGAUGAAGGUGAGGGAGAAGAGUAAAGCAGUAAAGGUGAUGUUGUUGCAGACAGAGUCAGCUGACCUGUCUCAUCAGAGUCUCAUCCAUUCUCUGUUUAGCAGAGCGCUGAUGUUACAGUCUGAGAGCACAUUCAGGUUCAGCUUCACAUGGGCUGGAUCUGCUCAAUACAAACUCUUGAGACCAGCCUGGUUGAGGGAGGUGGGCUCAGUGUCCUGGGUGACUCUCUCUGAGCUCUUCUUGGUUGAGAGUAUUUCUGGUUUGUCUCUGACUUCCAUGAACUCAGAUCUGGAGGAUUGCUGGCUGGUCCGGUCCAGUGCUGACAGUAGAGACAACACAGUCUGUUAUUCUGGGUUGGGUGUUCUUGUUGAAGAUCAGUGUACAGUGAGGGAUGAAGGCAGACAAAGAUCCUCCUGUUUCCUCCAUGUCACAGUUCAAGUUCAUUUUGAAGACUUUUAUUGAUCCGAGCGCUGAAGAGGAACAGGAAACAUGGAGUAGAGAGUGAGGGAGGACUUACAGCAAAGGAUCAUGGGAGUCUAACCAGCAACUGCUACGACAAGGACUCCACCUUCUGAACACCUGAACCUCUAAUCCAAACCAGUGCUCCAUCACACUUGAUGUCUUGUCUGUUAUUUAACAUGGAGGGUCAGAGCAGACCAGAUAAUGAGCUCUGACAGACUGGAUCUGGUCCAAAGGUCUCCUGUUGGAGUUCUCGAAGCUCCAUAUUUUAAAUCUGAACACGUGAAGUUUGAUUAUUAAUUAUUUUUAUCUACAUUCUCUUUCCUUUUUUCAGACUGAGUGGCUGCAGUUUGUCAGAGAUCAGCUGUUCUUCUCUGGCCUCAGCUCUGAAGUCCAACCCCUCCCAUCUGAGUGAGCUAAACUUGGGUAACAACGAUCUGCAGGACUCAGGAGUGAAGCUGCUGUGUGACUUUCUGCAGAGUCCAAACUGUAAACUGGACAUUCUGGGGUAAGUUUGUUGAUGAUGUUUUCAUGUCUAGAGGACAUGCUGGAGUGAAUUCAACCAAACCUCCUGAGAAAAAGACAGCAGUGGCAGACAUUAGAUCAGACUUCAUGACGUCUGUGCGUCCCGUUAAUCAACCAAAUCAGCAGUCUGAGAGUUUUCCCUCAUCUCUUUAGAUUUGAUGGUUUUUGUGAUUUUAAUGUUUCCACACAAACUUUAAAUUGUUGAAACUGAAUUUUGUUCGUCAUGAUAAUGUGACAGCUGAUUUUAUAAAAAAACUUUUAGAUUUGGAGUUAAAGUGUUUCAAUUUCAGACAUUUUGAACAUAUUUAUGAGUUUUUAUUCAUUAAUUACAACCAUAUCAUACUGAUAUCAGACAGGAGUGUGACAGGUGUUUAUUUUGUCUUUUUGACACGUUACAAUAAUGAGGAUAAAGUCAUGGACUAAACUUGGGCUCCCAGUUUCCUUGUUGUUGUUGUUGCUUCAGCUAGCAUCGUUUUCAUCACAGUUAUUAAAGUAAUAAUGAUGCUUCAUAAAUCCAGAGUCACAAAAAACACCAAACAAACCAAAUCUGAAAAAGAUCCACUUUUUCAUCAAAUGUGUUUAAUCUGUCAGAUCAUGAGGUUUGAGUUUUCAUGAGGAGGAAUAGAGAAAUAUCUGCAGUGACAGAGAGAAACACAGACGCCUGAAUUUACACUGACAGACACACAAACACAGACAGAGAGACACAAACAGGGAUUUCCACUUUGUCACUUUGCUCUGAUGACUGAAGUCACAAAAACAAAGUUUUCUUUGGUUCUUGAACUUAUUUGGUUAAAUCAUAAAAGUGACAAACUCUCAGAUUUUGUUCUUCCCAAUAUUAUUUAAUGAGCUCUUUCAAACUGGAUCUGGUCCAAAGGUCUCCUGUUGGAGUUCUCUAGGCUUGAUUUUUUUAAACCUGAAAACUUGAAGUUUGAUUAUUAAUUAUUUUUAUCUACAUUCUUUAUCCUUUUUUCAGGCUGUGGAGCUGCGGGUUGUCAGAGAUCAGCUGUUCUUCUCUCGUCUCAGCUCUAAAGUCCAACCCCUCGCAUCUGAGAUUUCUGGACCUGAGUGACAACAAAUUGCAGGAUUCAGGAGUGAAGCUGCUGUGUGACUUUCUGCAGGAUCCAAACUGUGAACUGGCGAUUCUGGGGUUAGUUUAUUCUUUGUCUGUUUCUGGUGUAGCUUUUGAUGUUUAAUCAUUUUUUUAACCCAAUUCAAAUGUUCACAGACUUCUUGAAUAUUUCCAGAACUUUCUUCUUACUCACAAAGGUGACAAAGAUCCUCCUGUUUCCUCCAUGUCACAGUUCAAGUUCAUUUUGAAGAGUUCUCUAAGCUCGACAUUUUAAACCUGAACAUAUGAAGUUUGAUUAUUAAUUAUUUUUAUUUACAUUCUCUUUCCUUUUUUCAGACUGAGUUUCUGCAGUUUGUCAGAGAUCAGCUGUUCUUCUCUGGCCUCAGCUCUGAAGUCCAACCCUUCCCAUCUGAGAAACCUGGACCUGAGUGGAAACGAUCUGCAGGAUUCAGGAGUGAAGCUGCUGUGUGACUUUCUGCAGAGUCCAAACUGUGAACUGGAGAUUAUAGAGUGAGACUUUUUUCCUCCAUUCAAACAUUAUCAUGAUUUGUUUGUGAUGAUGACACUAAACUGCUGACUCAGGACUGAAAUACUGACCCAGACUGAACACCUUCAGUCCAGAGUAGAUUUUCUGCAUCAGUGGAUUAUUUGAUUGACUCCAGUUCGAUCACUGCUGAGCUCCAGUGAAUUAAAACCUGAACCCAAGAAGAAACUCUUUGUAGAGUUCACAGUGAGAAGCACAUUCAGACAGAAAACAGAAGCAGGGGGAGAUUUGUCAGACGAGAACCAUUCAAACUUUUGUUCAGGACAAGAUCAGGGAAUAGAAAAAACUCAGAGUUUAGUUUCUGACACUGAUGAAAGUCCAGCUCUGUUACUUUGAAUUUUGAUUGUUUUUAAAUCUUUGUGUGAAAAUCUGAAUUUGAUGGUUUAUCAUGUGUUUUUGAAUUCACUGUUUCAAACUGACUUCCUGUUUGGUUCAGCUCUUUGGAGCGUCACUUUUCUCUGAUUCAUACUUUCCAAACCUUUCCCCUGAACUCUACAGAUUUAAGACAUCAGGUUUCAAACUGGAUCAUUUUUCUCUAAAAUCUCAUUAUUUCCUCUUUAUUUAGGUUGAAAUACUGCAGUUUGACAAAGAUCAGCUGUUCUUCUCUGGCCUCAGCUCUGAAGUCCAACCCCUCCCAUCUGAAAACUCUGGACCUGAGAGACAACAAUCUGCAGUAUUCAGAUCUGAAGCCGCUGCGUGAUCUUCAGAAGAGUCUAGACUACAGCCUGGAGGAUCUGAGGUCAGUAUAGAGUUGGAGUUGCAGAUAUUCAGUAUUUCCUGCUGACUCUUCGACCCUCUCAGAGGAUUCUUUCUUUAGUGAAGCUGUGAGAACAGAAAUCAUCAAACCAGGAGUGUAAGAGUGUCAGUCAUGAAAAAAGUGUCUCCUCGUCUCUAUAUUUCAGAUCAAAUGUAGAAAUGAGACAUAAUGAAACAGAAAUGUUCAGUUUCUGCUCUGAAGUCCAGUUUAUAGUUCUCUGUAUUCAACACAGACUUUAUUUCUCUGCUAACUUGUUGAUUUUGAGCUCUAAGUCUGAAAACAGACAGCUGUUCUUUAUACUUGUUAUUUUCACAGCAGGUUUGUUCGAUCAGCUUUAACACAUUUGACAGGAAGGAUUUCUUUAUUUUGAUGAUGUUGGUUUAUUUGUGAGGAAACCUGCUGCUUUACACCAUCACUUCUGGUCUGAGCAGGACUGAGACCUGCUGGUCUGUAAACUGGAUGUUCUUCAGUCCAGCUGAUGAAGUGAGUCUCAGAGUGGAAACACUGAUCGUCUUUUUUUCUCUCCGCAGCCGGGUUGACCUCAAGAGUGAUGAUGAAGAGGAUGAUCUGUCUUCUGAUGAUCAGAGAGGUGAAGGCAGCAGUAGUGAGGAUGAGUCUCUGACUUGGCCAUGUUACUGAGAGACUGACUGACCAAUCACAGCGGACGGAGAGGACUCUGGGAGCUGCACUUUGACCUGCUCUGAGAUCAGCUCAGGACCUGGACUCUGGAUAUUUGAUAUUUUCCCUCAUAUUCUGGGAUCAAACAGUCUGAACAGGUUUGUUUUGUUUAUGGAAACAUGAUCAUAAAUUCACCCACCCCCAUGAUGCAGCGCCACCUAGUGGAAAUAUAAAGCGGUGGAGUUGAUGUAUUCCCACAGACUUCUGCAGCAGGAGUUGAUACCAUGUGUGACAGUAGAUCAGUCAGAAGUUCUGAUUAAGGCUGUUUUUCAGGGACCAAAACUUUCUGUCUGUCAGAACAUUUAGAGCUAAAAUCUGGGAGAGUUAAGACUAAUCUAAACAAAGUGUUGAGUUUCAGAACAGUACAACACGUCGUCAUGGGUAGCCUCCUGGAGGAUAGAUAUGAUGUACCCAUGAUGAUGAAAGACUCAUACACACACACACACACACAUAUCAGAGGUACAAGCAGUUUCAAAGGGAGUAGACGAAAGGCUUAGGGAGCUUUCUUUGGUUUUGGUCAAAACUCUGUCAUCUUUACUGAUUUCUACAUCUGUACAAUAAAAGACACCCAGGCUGUGCUUCAGAUCUCAUCCUGUCUCCUGUGCAUUGUUUUACUGAGUUUAUGCUGGAUUCUCCACUACAUCCCUGUACAUGUUUUUGUUCUCAUAUAAUCUUUGAGCUCAUCAAUAAUCGAUUCCCUCCUGUUUGGAUGUACAAACACAAUCAUUAAACCAUAAAUGAGACCUGAAUGUAAAAGUAAAAUGUGUGAAAUAUAAUUUGUCAAAGCAAAGAUUCUUGAACAAAAAAACUCCAAAGCUUUUCUAUCCCACAGAGAAGAUCGGUUUGUUUUCAGAGACCUUCCUGAUCCCAUCCCUCCAAAAUGAAAAUAAUCUGAUGAUUUAUUAACUGCUGAAUCAAAAACAUAAGUUGUUCCUUAUUUUCUUUACGCAAACGUUUGUGUUCAUUUAAUCAUUUUCCAUGUUAAGCUGGAUGGUGGGGAUUUGUCGUGUUAUGUGCAUAUAUUCAUGUAAGGACUCUUAAACAAGUGGUUGCGACACGUCGUUAUCUGUUCCACAAUGGCUGUCUUGCUUUCCUUCUUCUCAACUCUGAGUGUUCGGUUGUACGGGACAUCGUAAUAAGUUAUUCACAGUUUUUUUAAUGAAAAUUUUAUGGUAGUUUGUUGCUGGUUAAUGAUAGUUCAUUCGUUUUCUUUGACAGCCAAGUUAGCCAAAGAAACAAGUCAAACAAGAAAUUGUUAUUAAAAUCUUGUAACUUGUCAGGAAAGCUCCUGCAUCUUGCAAAGUAUUGGUGAUUUCUUUUCUUGUUUCAUCUGAAAAAUUCGUAGGAGAUGGUAAAAGACCUCUCGCUUUAAGUUUGCAUGGUCUUAUCAAAAUUAGCUGCUGUUCUGCGCUUUUUAACUUAUUUUAGUUUUUUCUAGGAUUAUAAUUAAUUAAAUGUGUGGUAAUGUUAAAUGAGCAUCAUGAAGAGAGAGCGACAUUGACAACCUUAAGACAGAGCUGGAGGUAGAGAAGCACUCAUCUGUAGUUUGUUGGUUUGACCAGCAGGUGGAGCUGCUGUGUAAACAAUAAACUGAGACUCAACCAAACAAGUUCCUGUUUGAGUGAACUUGUUUAAUUUUGACACAGGAGAGGAAGAUGAUUGUCAAGAAUACUGAACUUAAAAGAUGAUCAAAAACUGUCAGUAAAUGUCAUGAGAAGAAGAAUCUGUGAUCUGGUGGUUUAGGUUUCAGUGGAAAGAGUCACUGUGAAAGUGAAAGUAAACUCAAGAACAGACUCCAUUGAGAAAAGAACAGAGCAGAGAGAGGAGAGGACGAGGAGACAGGGUGAGUGUUUACUCUGGGUUUUCUAACGUCAAAGUCUUUAUCUGUAUCAUCUGUUAAUGAAAAAUGAUUUACUGACUAAUACACUUAAAAACUGUAAAACACAGAAACCUGACCAGACAAAGAGCUGGAUCAGUUCUUGAUACAGGAAACUGCGUACGUGCAGUUCUUCCUCCUUCUUGUUUAGACUUGUCUUUUUAGUAAAAACAAAAAUGAGUUUCUUUUCAUUUAGCCUCUCAUUUCAAAUUUAAUCCAGUCCCUUUAAUUUUUAUGAGACUUCAGGGACCUCACAGCUGUUGUUGUUUUGACCAUGAAUCAGAGAGAGGCCCUGUAGCGUACAGAUUAAACCCUGUAUAACUCUUAAAGAGGGGUAUUAAGCUUAUUUCAGACUGUAUACUUUCUUUCUGAUUCCUCUUUAAUAUCUUUACAUGAUUUUCAGUUUAGUCUCCUGUUUCUCACUCUGGUGUAUUAAAAUAUCUUUAUUUCAGCCUCCUCCUAAAACACUUCAUUUUAGCUGCUGUCUCUUUAAGGCCUCCUGUCCACGAGUCUACUUCUAUUUCUGAACACUGUCCUCCUGUUUGUAUCUCACCUGUUUGUCUACUUUGUCCUCAGGUUGUAUAACUCGGUUUCAUCUUCCAAAAAGUUGCUCAACAUCAGAUGGAGAAGAUGAGUGUUUGUGUCGAGGAAGAGGAGGACAGAGCAGAGUCUGUCAUGUCAGACUGUCUGUCUAUGAAGAGUGACUGUUCUAAAGAUUUUAUCCUGGAGUUCAGGAAAGAACCAGGACCCUCAGAGGAGUGCAGAGCAAAGUCUAUUCCGUCCAGCUGUCUGUCUAUGAAGAGUGACGUAUCUAAAGGAAUUCCUCUAAACUUCAGUAAAGAACCAGGACCCUCAGAGGAGUACAGAGCAAUGUCUGUUAUGUCCGACUGUCUGUCUAUGAAGAGUGACUGGUCUAAAGAGAUUAUCCUGGAGUUCAGGAAAGAACCAGGACCCUCAGAUUCACAGUAAGAGAAACACUUUUCAACCACCAAACUCUCAAACAACAACAAUUGAUGUUUCAAAAACAAAACUUUAAAUUCUGACCCCUCUGUUUUCUACCAUGGUGAGAAAAAUGAUCUCUGCUCUCAAAACAGUGAUUUUCCUCUGUAACCUGCCAACCUGGAUAAAGGGCUGGUGAAGAAAAAGUCACUGAGCACAGAUUUACUUAUUAUUCAUCAUGUUGAUAAAAAUGAAGGUCGUAUAAAACAGCAUCUGAAAAGGAUUCUGACCUCUGUAUUUUCUGAUUUGGUUCCGGCGUCUGAGACGUUUUGAGUCUGUAAGUCUUUGGACUGUGGUGUAUAGACCCCAGAAAACAGUCUGUUGGUCACAAAAUACCAGAAGACCGAUGAAGAAAUCAUUCCUGUUUGAUCUUUUGAUAAAAAAACUGUAGAAUUGGUGGAGAAAAUCUCUCCACCCUCAAAAAUCGCAGUUUAGUUUUUCUCCUGUCUCCACACUUUCAGGCAGCAGCAGCUGAAUAUUUUACAGGAGAUUGUUUUAUGUUAGAGAAAAGAGUGAGGUCAGAAACUCUGGUUUAAUAAAUGAUUCUUAUUCUGUAUCUUUCAAACAUGAAAUGAUAAAGAAAAUAAAUGUUCUUUAUUUCCACAGAGAGACACAGAGAUGUGACUCUGUGGAGGAGCAGCUGUCCAGAUGUUUUUCAUGUCAGGACGUCCUGAAGGAUCCAGUCUCUUACCGCUGUGGACACCUGUCCUGCAGACAGUGCCUGGCCUCAUGCAGGGACCAGUAUACUUCUUUAGGACACACCUCCUGUCCCCAGUGUGGAAAAAGAACCAGAACAGUUCUUGUCUCUCAGACAGACAGUCAGUCCAGCUCUGAUGGAAGUAAGUCUGAACAUCUGUCCUCUAAAGUCUCUGUGGAUGAAAACUCAGCUGACUGAUUUUCACAAAGACGUUUUCGUGUUGAGAAGUUUGGUUCAUUUGAUUUUUCUUCUCUUUCAGCAGAUGGCGGUCUGCAGGAGGUUUUAGAUGAACAUAAGAUCAGUCUGAAGAGGAGAUGUGAACGUGUGAAUGAAGGAAGUGAUGAAACAGGAAGUAGUCAAACCCUCCUCAACAGGAUCUUCACUGAGCUCUACAUCACACAGGGACUGAGUGAAGAGGUGAACACACAACAUGAGGUGAGACAGCUGGAGACAGCUUCAAAGAUGGAGACCCUCCAUGACACGCCCAUCAAGUGUCAUGAGAUCUUUAAAACCUUACCUGACCAACAGAAGAAGGUCAUCAGAGUGGUUCUGACCAACGGCGUGGCUGGUGUUGGAAAAACCUUCUCAGUGCAGAAGUUCACUCUGGACUGGGCAGAGGGUUUGGAGAACCAAGACCUCCAUCUGGUGGUCCUGCUUUCAUUCAGGGAGCUGAACCUGAUCAGAGAUGAGCGCUUCAGUCUUCUGAGUCUGCUCCAUGUUUUCCAUCCAACACUAGAGAAGGUCACAGCAGAGACGCUGGCUGUCUGUAAACUUCUGUUCAUCUUUGACGGUCUGGAUGAAAGCAGACUGUCUCUGGAUUUCACAGACUCUGAGGUCCUGUCUGACGUCACACAGAAGUCUUCACUGAACGUUCUGAUAACAAACCUCAUCAAGGGGAACCUGCUCCCCUCAGCUCUCAUCUGGAUAACUUCUCGACCUGCAGCAGCCAAUCAGAUCUCUCCUUCACGUGUGGACAGGGUAACAGAAGUACGAGGCUUCACUGACGCCCAGAAGGACGAGUACUUCAGGAAGAGGUUCAGAGAUGAAGAUCUGUCCACAAGAAUCAUCUCACACAUCAAGUCCUCCAGGAGCCUCCACAUCAUGUGUCAGAUCCCGGUCUUCUGCUGGAUCACUGCGACAGUUCUGGAGGACAUGAUGAGCAGAGAGCAGAGAGGAGAGCUGCCCAAGACCCUGACGGACAUGUACUCACACUUCCUGCUGGUCCAGACUAAGAGGAAGAAGCAGAAGUAUGAAGGAGGACAUGAGACAAGUCCUCAGGAGCUGACGGAGGCUGACAGUGAAGUCCUCCUGAAGCUGGGGAGGCUGGCCUUUGAACAUCUGGAGAAAGGAGACAUCAUGUUCUACCAAGAAGACCUGGAGCGGUGUGGUCUGGAUGUCUCAGAGGCCUCGGUGUACUCAGGAGUUUGUACAGAGAUCUUCAGAAGAGAGAGUGUGAUCUUCCAGAAAACUGUUUACUGUUUCGUUCAUCUGAGCGUUCAGGAGUUUCUGGCUGCAGUCUACAUGAUCCACAGUUUCACAAACAGGAACGCAGAAGUUCUGAAGACUUUCCUAAGAGGCAACAAUGACGAAGACAAAAUGUCUCACUUAAAGACGGUUUCCGGAUAUUUUAAAAACCUAAAUCUCUUCCUUAACAGUGCCAUGAAGAAAUCCCUUCUCAGUAAAAACGGUCACCUUGACCUGAUUGUUCGCUUCCUUCAUGGACUCUCUCUGGAGUCAAACCAGAGACUCUUAGGAGGUCUGCUGGGUCACACAGACAACAGUCCAAUAAUGAUCCAAAGAGUCAUCAACAACCUGAAGAAGAUGAACAGUAAAGAUAUCUCUCCUGACAGAAGCAUCAACAUCUUCCACUGUCUGAUGGAGAUGAACGAUCUGUCAGUUCAUCAGGAGAUCCAAGAGUUCCUGAAGUCAGAGAACAGAUCAGAGAGGAGACUCUCAAUGAUCCACUGCUCUGCUCUGGCCUACAUGCUGCAGAUGUCAGAGGAGGUUCUGGAUGAGUUGGACUUUAAGAAGUAUAAAACAUCAGACCAGGGACGACUGAGACUGAUGCCAGCUGUGAGGAACUGCAGAAAGGCUGAGUAAGUCCAGGUUUUAUUCUCAGAAUAGUGUAAAUGAUCCCUGUAGUUCUUCCAAUGUCCACGUUACUGAUGAUGUUCUUCUUCAAAUAGAAAUCAGCUGAAAUAUCAGGGAGGGGGUUUCUUUAGGUUCAGCAAAAACAUGAUCCUGGUGUCAGAAGUCCUGUUAGCCCAGGAUGAGGUCUACCUGUGGACCCCUGAGAACUUGUCCUGAUUGUGGAGGACCUCUUUGUUUUGAAUCGUGUCUGUAAUGAAUAAAGUGGAACUUUCAGGACAAAUCAGUGACCAUAUCUGAGGACACACAGAGGUCUUCUGAUGAUGGUAUCAGUCCAGAUCAACAUCUCAGUCAGUUGUGGUGAACUUGAGUUUGAAGAAGGUGUCUGCAGCUUCUUCCUGCUGGUUUUCAGGUUGGAAAUGAUGAAUCUGUUGUAAAUGAGGGUGUUGACAGCAUUGAUGGUGAAAAUAGAAGUGGAUCAUUUUCUACACAGUGGCAGAACUGUCUCUGUACCAUCAUGUUCAUCAUUCAAUAUUCAUCAUCAAUACAACCAUGAAAACUAACAUCAUUUUCCACCACUUCAAAGAUGAAUCUGUUUUUCCUUUUUUUUCUCCUGACUCCAAAUGUUUCUUUCUGAAUGAAACACACAAACGAGCAAAAUUCAAUCUGUUAUUUUUAUAGGAGUCAUGAGAACGUACGCCCCCUAGAGUUCAUAUGAGAGAGAGAGAGAGAGAGAGAGAGAGAGAGAGAGAGAGAGAGAGAGAGAGAGAGAGAGAGAGAGAGAGAGAAACAAAUACAGAGGUUCAGUGGGUCUUUGUAUCUGUCUCUUAAAGGUCUCUCUGGAUUCAUCAGGCUUCAUAAACUUGUUUCUGCUGGUGAAGGGAAUGUUACAUGGAGAAAAAACUUUGACUGUGAAAACAAAGAAAUCUUCAACUCUUCAAAUGUUCAGAGUCAAACCAGCUCUAACCUGCUGAAAAACGAUUUGAUCUGAACCAAUCAUAGAAAAAGGAGCUGCUGCUGUGAUUUAGUGAGUCGUCCUCUGAUUGGUCAACAGUCAGUGUCUAUGGACAGACUUACAUUACAGCAGGAUGUCAACAUUAAACACUGAGAGGAGCACUGAUUCUCCAAGAGGUACUUUGGAUACUAACCAAUCACAUACCAGGACCAAAAACCUGGUUCUCAGUCCCCUUCUCCAACCAGAACUCAAGAAUUCACACAAUCAUAAUGAUCCAGCUUAGUGCUGGACGAUAAUUCGAUAACAAUAUAUAUCGAUCGAUAGACGUGUGGUGCGAUAGAAAAAAAACGGGUCGAUAAAAAGUUCGAUAGAAAAACACAGUUUCCCUUUCUUUUUCAUCAUAGCCUAUCAUGUAGCUUUUACUACAGUCAUUGCUUCCUCCCAACCAAUCACAAACGCAGACCCAGGUACGCUACGGCACCAAGCCCAGCCCCUAUCAAACCACAACAGACAGCACGUGUAUUAGAAAAAAUGAUACAGCAAGGAGAAGCGGAGGAAAUUGUCCCGAAAAAAGGUCUCAGUAGUUCACCAGCAUGGCAGUGUUUUGGUUUUUAGAAGUCUGACAAAAAGCGAACAGCGGUCGUUUGCAAAAUUUGCAGAGAAUUAGUAAAAACCAAGUCUGGUAACACAACCAACUUGUUUUACCAUCUAAACCGGUCGCACCCGCAGGAGUACGAGCUGUGUCGGCCGCGCCGCGGCUCCACGUCAUCGUCGGCGGAAUCCUCUGGAACCGCUGCCAGCACCAGCACAAAGCAUGUGAAGCAGACCAAACUGGACAUCGUUUCUUGCCAAAAUACGACAAAGCGUCCGAGCGACAUAAGGACAUCACCCAUGCAGUAACAUGCUCCAUAGCGAGGGACAUACUGCUAAUAACUACCGUUGAAAAGCCGGGUUUUCGACCAGCUUCUAGCCACUCUCGACCCGCGAUAUGAAGUGUCCGGCCGCAAGUAUUUCUCAAACACAGCGCUUCAGGCAUGAAAACGGGUCAGGGGUUGAAAAGGUGAGAAGGGUGCGGAGGAAAUACGUUCCGGUGUUUGCCGUAGGAUGCACCCCUGCAUCCCGUCCACUCAUUCGCUUCUUAAAGUGGAAGAAAAUGAGCUCAUAUUUUACAAAGACGCGAGUAUUUGGAUCAUGGCUACUAGCAGGGGGUGCAUUCGGCAGGGGUGCAUUCUACGACACAACACCAGCGUGGAUAAGUCCUGCUUCUCGUGCUUAGUUUGUGUAUUAAGUCAAUCACAUGAUAAUUAAAAAAAAUAAAUCUCCCGACCCCGGGAGAAAUAUUUCAGUGUUCAGACACCAGGUUGUGGGCAGUUUCCCACACAGUUAAACCUGGUAGUAUGCUAUUCCCACCUAAAGCUAUUCUGUUUAUUUAUAUAUUUGUUUGUUUUGUUUAUUUUCAUCAAAAGACUAUUUAAAUAUUUAUUUAUCAGAUUUUCUGGUCACUUAAGUCUUUAUGUUUGUCAGUAUUUACUGACGUCACUCAGGCCACUUAAGUUGAUUUCUUUUUUUUUUAGUUCUUUUUAAAAAAACUUUCAGUUGUGGUAAAAUAAAAAAGGUGGUUGAAUAAAGGUUUGAAUUUAAAUUCAGUGCUUGUGUGUUCUUUAUUAAAAGUAGGUCAUUAAGCAAUAGCAUAAAACAUCCAGGGCUGCAAUUAAAAUAUAUGUUAAAUAAUUAUAAUUAUAUCGAUAAUUAUCGAUAUCGAUCAAUAUGAUUUAUUUUUUAUCGAUAUGAUUUUUUUCUAUAUCGUCCAGGCCUAAUCCAGCUGCACUAACAUGAAGACAACACUGUUAGAGAACAGAAUGACUAAAAUAAGUCAUGGAGUCAUUUGUCUUGAACAUCUGAACAGUUUUAUUUUUCUUCUAAACUUUGACUUCCUGUCUUCUCUCAUUGGUCCUGAUAUUAGUAUCUGUCUGGUUGAAAACAGGCCGUCUGUCAAACCAAAGAUCAUGUUUGUUUUUGGUGAAGAGAAACAUCAAAUUACCCUUCAAUGAAAUAUUGUUUGAUAUUCAUGUUGUUACAGAUUUAUUAAAUGUGGACUCUCAGAGACUCACUGUGAAGUUGUGGCCUCAGCUCUGAAGUCCAACCCCUCCCAUCUGAGACAUCUGAACCUGAGCGGAAAUGAUCUGCAGGAUUCAGCAGUGAAGCUUCUCUCUGCAGGACUGGAGAGUCUAAACUGCAGACUGAAGAUUCUGAUGUGAGACACCAUUUCCUUCUGAUCUAACAAUAAGAUGUGACAGCUGCUGCCUUAGAUUUUUCUCUGUGGUUUUUCCAUCAACUUUGGUCGAGCAGUUUGAAUUUGUCGUUGUUAAACUUCAACACAGGAAGAAAAAUCUGACAUUUCAGAGUUGACUUUGAGUAGAACGAUGGAUGUAGAAAGGAAGCAGGAGAAAAUCAGUCCCACAAAUAUUACACAUGCUUGUAGAGGGCAGGAGCAGCACAGACUAAAGGCUGAUACUGAACUGAUCCACAGUUAAUGUGAUCACUAAUGAAUGAAUGAAGUGUCAGAGAAAUGAUGAGCUGCAGAUUGAAACCUGAAGAACAAAGUUAAUCCAACUCUGGAUAUUUCAUUUGGAAACUCUUGAAAACUUGAAUUUCUUCUUUGCUCAGUCGUGUUCAAAUGUAAAAACCAGAUCCAGAUUUUUCUGCAGUUUUCACUUCAGUUUGUUGAACAUGAACAUCAUCUUGUCCAGUUGGUCCAUAAAAACCUCUCUGAUCAAUGAUCUGUUGGUUUAUUUGAGAGUAGUUUGACAGUUGUUGACAGCAGACGGACAGAGCCCUGAAUAAACUCCUGACUGUUUUCAUCUUCAUGAAGAAUUCAGGACUACAAAAAAACCUUUGAGAUUUCUCACAUUAAUUUCUUAGACUCUGGGGUAAGUUUAGUCUUUGUUUGUUUCUGGUGUAGAUUUUGAUGUUUAAUCAUUUUUUUUAACUCAAUUCAAAUGUUCACAGACUUGCUGAAUAUUUCCAGAACUUUCUUCUCACUCACAUAAAUUCAUAGUUUUUAUUGAAUCAGCAGUCAGAUACAGAUGGAGGAAAAUGAGCACUGUGAGUUAUUAUGUUGAUUGAAUGUUGAUGAUUUUUUAUAAAUGGUUGAGAUGAUCACUGCAGUGAUGUUGACGGGUUUACUUCCUCGGUCUCUAAAACAUUUAAAUGUUCAAUGAUGCAGUGAACUCACUAUCCAUGCAGCUCAGGAACACAGCUCAUCUUUUUCAUACAGGAAACUUUGUCAACAACAAAGGUGUGUUAAAGUCCCAUCAGUCAGCAGCUUCAGUCAGAGACCUUGCUGUCAGAGCUCCGUCAUUUCAACCCUCUGUAUAACUCCUCAGCACAGACCAGACCCUGUGAGCACAUCCUCACAACAUGCUGCUUUAGCAACAACAACAACAACAAUCAGCUGAUAGCAGAGAUUUCAUCCAAACAGUCCAGGAUACAAACUUUGAAGUGGUUGGAAAAUUCAGGUGUCCACCGCUCAUGCAGAGUUGACUCAUGUUGAUGAUGUUUUCAUGUCUAGAGGACAUGCUGGAGUGAAUUCAACCAAACCUCCUGAGAAAAAGACAGCAGUGGCAGCCAUUAGAUCAGACUUCAUGACGUCUGUGCGUCUCUUUAAUCAACCAAAUCAGCAGUCUGAGAGUUUUCCCUCAUCUCUUUAGAUUUGAUGGUUUUUGUGAGUGAGAGGAAGAGUGGAUCUGUCCACUGUCUGACCUUGUUGAUCCUGAUGAAGGUGAGGGAGAAGAGUAAAGCAGUAAAGGUGAUGUGACAAAGGUGACAAAGAUCCUCCUGUUUCCUCCAUGUCACAGUUCAAGUUCAUUUUGAAGACUUUUAUUGAUCCGAGCGCUGAAGAGGAACAGGAAACGUGGAGUAGAGAGUGAGGGAGGACUUACAGCAAAGGAUCAUGGGAGUCCAACCAGCAACUGCUGCAACAAGGACUCCACCUUCUGAACAUCUGAACCUCUAAUCCAAACCAGUGCUCCAUCACAUUUGAUGUCUUGUCUGUUAUUUUACAUGGAGGGUCAGAGCAGACCAGAUCAUGAGCUCUGACAGACUGGAUCUGGUCCAAAGGUCUCCUGUUGGAGUUCUCUGAGCUCAAUAUUUUAAACCUGAACACCUGAAGUUUGAUUAUUAAUUAUUUUUAUCUACAUUCUCUUUCCUUUUUUCAGAUUGUAUGAGUGCGGGUUGUCAGAGAUCAGCUGUUCUUCUCUGGCCUCAGCUCUGAAGUCCAACCCCUCCCAUCUGAGACAUCUGGACCUGAGUAACAACAAGCUGCAGGAUUCAGGAGUGAAGCUGCUGUGUGACUCUCUGCAGAGUCCAAACUGUAAACUGGAGAGUCUGGGGUCAGACUUUUUUCCUCCAUUCAAACAUGAUCAUGAUUUGUUUGUGAUGAUGACACUAAACUGCUGACUCAGGACUGAAAUACUGACCCAGACUGAACACCUUCAGUCCAGAGUAGAUUUUCUGCUUCAGUGGAUUAUUUGAUUGACUCCAGUUCGAUCACUGCUGAGCUCCAGUGAAUUAAAACCUGAACCCAAGAAGAAAACUCUUUGUAGAGUUCACAGUGAGAAGCACAUUCAGACAGAAAACAGAAGCAGGGGGAGAUUUGUCAGACGAGAACCAUUCAAACUUUUGUUCAGGACAAGAUCAGGGAAUAGAAAAAACUCAGAGUUUAGUUUCUGACUCUGAUGAAAGUCCAGCUCUGUUACUUUGAAUUUUGAUUGUUUUUGAAUCUUUGUGUGAAAAUCUGAAUUUUCUGGUUUAUCUGCACUUUUCUGCAGCCUUGCUGUGUUAAGACUGAAAUAUUUACCUCUCAAAGACGUGAUAUUUUUGGUUCAGCAAAGUGAAAAUAUUCUGAACAUCCUUUAUUUCCCAUCCGUCCUGAAGUCGUUGACAUUUUCUGAAAAUAUUGAUCUGCAUCUACAAUCAGUAAAAAAGUCUCUGAGUUUGUUUUUCACUAUUUCAUGUGUUUUUGAAUUCACUGUUUCAAACUGACUUCCUGUUUGGUUCAGCUCUUUGGAGCGUCACUUUUCUCUGAUUCAUACUUUCCAAACCUUUCCCCUGAACUCUACAGAUUUAAGACAUCAGGUUUCAAACUGGAUCAUUUUUCUCUAAAAUCUCAUUAUUUCCUCUUUAUUUAGGUUAAUGAGCUGCAGUUUGACAGAGAUCAGCUGUUCUUCUCUGGCCUCAGCUCUGAAGUCCAACCCCUCCCAUCUGAAAACUCUGUGGCUGAUGGGAAACAAUCUGCAGGAUUCAGAUCUGAAGCCGCUGCGUGAUCUUCAGAAGAGUCUAGACUACAGACUGGAGGAUCUGGGGUCAGUAUAGAGUUGGAGUUAGUCUGUGCUGAUCUCUCCUGUUCCUCUCCACACAGUAUCACAGCAGAUAUUCAGUAUUUCCUGCUGACUCUUCGACCCUCUCAGAGGAUUCUUUCUUUAGUGAAGCUGUGAGAACAGAAAUCAUCAAACCAGGAGUGUAAGAGUGUCAGUCAUGAAAAAAGUGUCUCCUCGUCUCUAUAUUUCAGAUCAAAUGUAGAAAUGAGACAUAAUGAAACAGAAAUGUUCAGUUUCUGCUCUGAAGUCCAGUUUAUAGUUCUCUGUAUUCAACACAGACUUUAUUUCUCUGCUAACUUGUUGAUUUUGAGCUCUAAGUUUGAAAACAGACAGCUGUUCUUUAUACUUGUUCUUUUCACAGCAGGUUUGUUACUUCAGCUUUAACACAUUUGACAGGAAGGAUUUCUUUAUUUUGAUGAUGUUGGUUUAUUUGUGAGGAAACCUGCUGCUGUACACCAUCACUUCUGGUCUGAGCAGGACUGGAACCUGCUGGUCUGUAAACUGGAUGUUCUUCAGUCCAGCUGAUGAAGUGAGUCUCAGAGUGGAAACACUGAUCGUCUGUUUUUCUCUCCUCAGGUGGAGUUAACAUCUGUCAGAGUGAUUAAGAAGAGGAUCAUCUGUCUUCUGACGAUCAGAGAGGUGGAGGCAGCAGCAGUGAGGGUGAGGUGAGUCUCUGACUGGGCCGUGUUACUGAGAGACUGACUGACCAAUCACAGCGGGCGGAGAGGAUUGUGGGAGCUGCACUUUGACCUGCUCUGAGAUCAGCUCAGGACCUGGACUCUGGAUAUUUGAUCUUUUCCCUCAUAUUCUGGGAUCAAACAGUCUGAACAGAUUUGUUUUGUUGAUGGAAACAUGAUCAUACAUUCACCCACUGAUUGGAUUACUUUUUUUUUGCCUAUGAUGCAGCGCCACCUAGUGGAAAUAUAAAGCGGUGGAGUUGAUUUAUUCCCACAGACUUCUGCAGCAGUAGUUGAUACCAUGUGUGACAGCAGAUCAGUCAGAAGUUCUGAUUAAACCCAAAGGUUAUUCUUUCCUUUGCACCGUCAGAUAUAAACUGAAGGGAGAGGAAGAGAACUGAGGAGAGAUGGAGGUGAAGGGAGGAGGACAGGGUUUGGGGUUUCAGAAAAAUCAGAAGCUUUAUUCUUUUAUUUGCUUAUAUUUAUUUAUCUGUUUACUUUUUAAAUUUCUGAAAUGAUUUUCAGUAUUGACUGGAGGUGGAUUGACCUUAGUUUUUAUUAUUAGACAUUAUUUUUUUUCUCUUUACAUGUUUUUGUUCUCAUAUAAUCUUUGAACUCAUCAAUAAUUAAUUCCCUCCUGUUUGGAUGAACAAACACAAUUAUUAAACCAUAAAUGAGACCUGAAUGUAAAAGUAAAAUGUGUGAAAUAUAAUUUGUCAAAGUAAAGAUUCUUUAACAAGAAAACUUGAUCUAGUUUAUUAUGAUGGAGACGUUUUCCUCUGACAGACUAAAAUUAUCGGAUUGACUCGAGUCUGGAAAAAGUGUGAUCAGCAUCUAUUCAGGGUGAAGUCAUUAAUACGGUUGAUGCUGUUUUAUAAACUCAGUGUUGUUGAUUACAAUCUCAGCUUCAUAAAUUUGAUGCUACAGUGGAGUGACUUCCUGUAAAAUCCACUGGCUUUGUGAGACCGUUAGCUUUCAGGAGAUAAGUUUGUGUUUCUGUGACACUCCAGAGCUUUUCUAUCCCACAGAGAAGAUCGGUUUGUUUUCAGAGACCUUCUUGAUCCCAUCCCUCCAAAAUGAAAAUAAUCUGAUGAUUUAUGGAUUAAUUUCAGUAACAAAGUGUCAUUUCUGUUGUAAACCAAUUAGAGGCUGUAUCUGCUAUCAGCUGACCUGUAAAGGUCCAAUCAGAAGCCAGAACAGCUCAUCACAGUUCGCUUAUCUAGUAUCAAUAGAUCUGUGCUCUGUCUGCGUAGCAGUAUGUUUAUGCUUCAUUUACACCAGAUCAUUUUUUAUUUAAUUUCACUGUCACAAUGUCAUUUGAAAACAAUAAAAACUUUAUUUGAACUAAAACAUGUUAAAAACAUCAA
Molecule: long non-coding RNA, 25930 nt
Filed under: Xyrichtys novacula (pearly razorfish)
Lineage: Eukaryota; Metazoa; Chordata; Actinopteri; Labriformes; Labridae
Source: RNAcentral